This 253-nucleotide ribosomal RNA is filed under the name uncultured bacterium. RNAcentral's name for it is "partial 16S ribosomal RNA". It matches the Rfam family "Bacterial small subunit ribosomal RNA", at positions 524 to 776 of the family's 1533-position model. The record is from RNAcentral.
UACGUAGGGACCAAGCGUUGUUCGGAUUUACUGGGCGUAAAGGGCGCGUAGGCGGCCUUCUAAGUCGAACGUGAAAUCCCUGGGCUCAACCCAGGAACUGCGUCCGAUACUGGAAGGCUUGAAUCCGGGAGAGGGAUGCGGAAUUCCACGUGUAGCGGUGAAAUGCGUAGAGAUGUGGAGGAACACCAGUGGCGAAGGCGGCUCUUUGGUCUGUAACUGACGCUGAGGCGCGAAAGCGUGGGGAUCAAACAGG